RNAcentral lists this transfer RNA (96 nucleotides) under bacterium. RNAcentral describes it as "tRNA-OTHER". It matches the Rfam family "tRNA". From Rfam's summary of the family: Transfer RNA (tRNA) molecules are approximately 80 nucleotides in length. Their secondary structure includes four short double-helical elements and three loops (D, anti-codon, and T loops). Further hydrogen bonds mediate the characteristic L-shaped molecular structure. tRNAs have two regions of fundamental functional importance: the anti-codon, which is responsible for specific mRNA codon recognition, and the 3' end, to which the tRNAs corresponding amino acid is attached (by aminoacyl-tRNA synthetases). tRNAs cope with the degeneracy of the genetic code in two manners: having more than one tRNA (with a specific anti-codon) for a particular amino acid; and 'wobble' base-pairing, i.e. permitting non-standard base-pairing at the 3rd anti-codon position. The record is from RNAcentral.
GCGCUGAUGGUGGAAUUGGUAUACACACUCUCCUUUAGCAACGAGAGUUCAGAAUUGCUAACCUGAGUGCAGGUUCGAGUCCUGUAAAGCGCACCA